GAGGGUAUAGCUCAAAUGGUAGAGUGUGUACUUCGCAUGCAAGAGGUCCUGGGUUCAAUCCCCAGUACUUCCA
This 73-nucleotide transfer RNA is filed under the name Camelus bactrianus (Bactrian camel). It matches the Rfam family "tRNA". From Rfam's summary of the family: Transfer RNA (tRNA) molecules are approximately 80 nucleotides in length. Their secondary structure includes four short double-helical elements and three loops (D, anti-codon, and T loops). Lineage: Eukaryota; Metazoa; Chordata; Mammalia; Artiodactyla; Camelidae. The record is from Rfam by way of RNAcentral. RNAcentral also lists the same sequence under 2 other names.